This is a non-coding RNA of Acanthosepion pharaonis, 113 nucleotides long. Lineage: Eukaryota; Metazoa; Mollusca; Cephalopoda; Sepiida; Sepiidae. The record is from the annotation of a GenBank genome assembly.
UUACGGCCACAUCACGUUGAAACACAGUUUCUUGGACGAUCACUGAAGUUAAGCAACGUCGAGCCUGGUGAGUAUUUAGAUGGGUGACCACUUGGGAAUACCAGGUGCUGUAA